GGCUCAUUGAUCAUCGAGUCGACAAGGAAAAAAGAUUCCGGAAACUACUCGUGCAGCCCGUCGAACAGUCCACCGAUCACCGUUUCGCUGCAUGUCAUCAAUGGUGAAUCCUCCGCAUCUGCAGUAACGUCGUCGGCCGGAUCGCUGUUCGAUGACAGUAUAUCAAUGGUUAAGCAGAGGAAUAUCCAUAUUUUACUGCAGCAUAGGUCAUUUUGUUAUGUUACUCGUUUUGGUUAUCUACGCUCAGCUAAGCUGUCGCAUGUACUAGUUAAGAGAAUUUAUCUAAGUUAAUAAAUUUGAAAAUCAUAUACAACAACAUACCAAGCAGCAAAGGAGUCGCAGACACGGGACGAGACACGCGUUCAGCCACCACCCGGCACGUGUACAGAGGUGAGAUUCGGUACGAACCUGGACAUUUGCUCACAAACGUACAUCGACUGAGAUAUUUCAAACUACUGUAGAAAAAAAACGAGUGAAGCGUGAGAAAAAAAAAACUGUUCCCUUCGCGCAUCGUCAUCAUCCAUCGCGGUUUUUUUGGCAGCGAAAAACAGAACAAAUGAAUCACAUUUGAGUAAGAAACAUGCCGAUAUGUAAAAAAAAAUGAAACACACCUAGAGUUUAGAUGCAUCCCAAAUUCUAGAAAAAAAGGUAAAAAAACGAAAUCAAACGACGCAAGCCAGCUGGUAAUUCAUGUUAUCGAAGUAGGCCCGGUGGCAACGCUUCCAGCUGCAUGCGUUAGCCUGCUUGUAUUACAGGAUCACAGUGCACAGUGGGUAGGUAAAGGUACAAAAAGGUAAACAGCAGAUAACUUGGAAACUAUCCCACAAGAGUGUGUAGAGACUUCAAGAGUGUCUCCAAAUAGGAAUGGUGUCAAAAAUGCAUUCGUCGCAUUUCGUUUUUCAAAUUUUUCCAAUCAUUGUGAUGACCCAAUCAAUUUUGAGGUUAUGAGCAGAAGGAAAACAAACAUGUAUUUACACAUGCCUAAGUGCACAUUAAUGUGCGAGCGCUAAACGUCACUCAUCUCAAUGUGUGAGUGGCCAAUAAAAGGAAAACAAAUACACGUUGGUGGGGAAACUCCACGAAGCUGGGGUGCAAAUGAGUAAAUUUUCAUAUACAUUUUUAAGGCUCCCCCGGACCUAAGCGAUUUCAUCGCCGCGGUUAUAUCGUUGGGUCGCCACAUGCAAUGUUCCAUUUACGCUUCCAUACCAACGGCGACAGAAUCGCAGUCGCCAAGCGAUAGAAUCGUGUCGCGAUUAUCGCGUUGCGUGUGUUUGGGGGAACUUUUAUUCAUCUACAAUUUUGAGGUUAUUGUUAUGAGCCAAAAAAAAAACAGAAGUCUAUUAAAGCUAUCAUUGCACUAUUUGUCAUAAUGACAAAUAUUUGUCAAAAGUCAGCCUGAUAUCCUUGUCGAUUUCUAAUCAGUCUGAUAGAUAUCUGGAUAAACUUGACAGAUAUUUGUUAUAAUGACAAACAGUGGACCGUGGACUUUACUUUUGAUGAAGCGAACAUUAGUUUGCGUGCGCCAAACGUAACUUAUCUGAAUAGGCCGGAACCUGAGCUGGAGCAAUCAUCUCAUCCGAAAGUUGUUUGGUCAAUAUGCCAUUUGGAUGAACAAACUAUCAGACUGAAACCCAACUGACCGAAAGUCGUUUGGCUGAAAGUCUCUUGGCCGAAAUGGAAAUACGGCCGAAAAUGUAGUGUGGCCGAAUAGGUCGUUUGGCCGUUUAACCGAAAAUGUCGUUUGGCCGAAGUGAAUGUGGUUACGUCAAGAAAAGACAAGUGACAAGUGAGGAAAAAUUAGAAGUGAGAAAUGAGGAGUGAGAAGUAUGAAGUAAUUAAUAAGAUUUGGCAAAUAUGAUGCCUCACUUCUUUCUUCUCAUUCUUCAUUUGUAUUUUCUCAUUUCUCCUCACAUCACACUUCUCACUUUCCACUGUAGAAAGGAGAAGUGAGACGUCUCACUUCCGCACUUUUCACAGUGAAAAAUGAGAAACGAGGAGUGAAAAGUGAGACGUCUCACCUCCUACUUCCCAUUCAUCAAUCAUAAUAUUCCACACAUUUAUUCAAUCUUUUUGAAACUUUUUAAAAAUUCACUAGUCAAGCUCAACUUGUUCGCCCUAGAGUUUAACCACUCGAGGAACGCAUCGUACGAGGCCCGAAGGUUCGGACAUGGACAAGCACAUGUUCAUCUUGUGCGGUUUCCAACAUAAUCCAGGCAGCAAAGUUCGUGGUUCUGCAAUUCAGAGUUGGAUUUCUUCGCUUCGUGAGCCUGCGACGAGCCCCGUUGGAAAAACUCAAUCCCUCAAAUUAUUACAAAUGACGGUUCGACAACGUUCUUCCAACCUUCCGUCUACGGCUUUCUUCAGCAACGUCUUUAAUUGUUCUUGUUAUGCCUCACCGGGAGAUCAUGAACCUUUCGCAUCUUGUCGAAUAUUUCUUUCAGGUGCCUCUUAACGAGCUUCACCACGGCAACACAGUACCUUGCUACCAACACCAUACUGUUUUUGGGUACUUCCGGUCUUCAGUUAUAUUUCAACUGUAAAGUGUUCAAAGCUUCUGAUCAAACGUAAAUCAGACAGAUAAUUUUCCAGCUCGGAAGAAGGCAACCAAAAUUUAUUUUUCUGAUAAUACUUGAUUAUAAAAGUAACACAUAUUGUGAUCAAAGCAACGAAGAGUCGUCAAUUACAGUUUCAUGUGCAACGCAAUAAUGACUGUUGAAGUGAUGUAGCCAGUGUUGUAAAAUGUCAUUUGCAUUCGUUUGUAUAAUUUUCCCAGAACUUUUUUCAGAAGGUAGCUAUCAAUUCAUGUUGUAUGACGAACUUAUAGCGGUUAAAUGGGCCUACAACUUUGUCUAACGAGACUUUGCUGUAAAUAUGUAAUCUGGGGCGUGGGAGGCAAAAUGUCAUUCAAAUGACAUUAUGUCAAAUGACACGUGACAUUUUGGAGAGUUUUCACUCUCCAGCCUUUGAUGUUAUACUUAGAGCAAUGUGCCCUUGGACAAAAAUAUAACCCUACUCAAGCGUUAUGAGUACAUUCAAAAUUAUGGAAGAAUUUUGCUUCUAAAGAAAGUUAUGAACAAAUUAGUCAAAUGACAUGCAGAUGACAUUUUACAAGCCUGGAUGUAGCUGUUCAAUUGCCUGACCCUUUACUAAUGUGUCGAUACAAACUCUUGUUAUCAAGGUAUUUGUUCCUGGUCGAGAAACACCGUCCUUUACCUCUCUUAUGGAAAGUGACCUAUCCGUUAUGUCUGAUAAAGCGCAAUUUCAGCAGGUCUAGAGUCAAGCCUCACAAGGCCAUCAAGUUAUCACAUCGUCUGAGCUUCGGUAGUACAGUUUUAUCGUUUCCUGCUAGCUCGGCUUACCUUUGAGGCAGUGCAGAUUAGUCACUGGAAAGAGGCUCGGGCUAGUUAUCGCAAGACUGUACUGGACUACGGAGAUUUAUCUAUGGGUGUAAGUACCACCUGUAGACGGAUAUUCGUUCUACUUGGAGUAUUCCCAAUAAGUAACAAACAAAUAUCACUUGAAACACGUCGUUCGAAGCCGAGGAGCUGCAUCAAUACUGUUACUGAAUCCCGGAGAACCGCGUCCUCUCCAGCGUCCUCUCCAAACGUCUAUGAUGCGAUGUGGCCAAUGAGCACCAUGAAGAUUCGAGGCUAAGAAAAUCCCGUACGAAAGAGAUGGGUCUUACAAAGAUACCCCAGUCGGUGAGUUGCCGCAAUAUCUGUUGAAUAGCUUUGGAAAUGUCUAGAAAGACGACGCUUGAGGUUUAUCAUGACGGAGAUAUAGAAAUUAGCAAGAUAUCCAGCUCGAAGUUGUAAAUGUUCAAAGAUUGAAAAGUUUGCUUUGCAUACUAAAAAUGGAUUUCCCUGACGAAAGGUUCGCUUUGUACUGUAUUUCAAGAGUUCAAUCGUUAGAGUUUUGCCAAGAUGGUUUUACUUUUGAUAAAUGUCAUAUAAAAAACCAAUACAUCACGAAUUAGAUCAUCAAAAUGUUCCGGAAACGGGGGUUUGUUUGGCCCCAUUUCUGCAGAUUUCAAAGUGGCCCAUACAAAGUUCUAAACCAUCUCCGCUGGUGGCAGACCAUAAAUGGUUACGGGAUAAUAAAUGCGCCUAAUUUGGGAAGGGGGUGUAACAUCGGUCAUCGCGUUGACGCUUCUAUUCAAAUAUUGGAGUAAGGAACAUUGACUUCACCCUGUCCUUAGUUCUUACCCUAUAGGUACUGCGAAUGAUCUACAUCUGUUUGAGAUCCAGCUUUCAGCAAUAGAAUUGACCAUUCGGAGCUAAGACCGCUUUGCAGUAAUUUAUUUUUGCGUCUUCUGGGUUUGGUAGUCAUUAAUUCGGAAGUGUUUUGCAUUUUUUCCUAAUUUUGUUUGCGAGUGUUUUACUGCCAACAAUCCCAUAUUUGUCCUAAAUGAAAAAAAAUCCAGCAAAGAUGGGACUGAUAUGCGAUCGUAGGCAGUUUAGCUUGAUCCUCUUCACUUAGGUUCCCAGAAGUGAACAUUCCCUUGAAGGUUGCCAACAUAAUAACAUGAGCAUCAUGUAGAAUCAGUGUAAGCAGAUCCUCUUUGCGUAACUUUACUGUUAGAAACUUUGGGCCUUGGAAAACCCCAGAAUCGAAGUCUUCUUCCAGGUUCUCUGCUAAACAUGGAUUUCGAUGGUCUCUCUUCCGGCAUACGCACAAUAUGUCCACCCCACUGUAAUCUGCUGUAUUUUAUCAGCCUACCAAUAAUGUCUGCAUAUAUGUACACUUGGUUCAACUCGUGAUUCAUGCGGCUGGUGAAUGGCGCACCAUCUUCCCUCACGCUGCCAAGUAUUGAGCGCAGUUUUUUCCGCUCAACCACUUCGAGAAUUCGAUAGUCUGCAUCUAUUAACGUCCAUGUUCAUGGCCAAACAGGGCGUCUAAACGAAUCAACGAUGAGUGCAUACCUAAGGCUUGUUCGGGGCAAAAUCUGGACACCCCGGAACACGUGAAACUUUUGAAAUACCUCAUCAACGAGUGAAAUAUUUCGUAUAGUGAUGAACGUUUAUCUGUACUAUCAGAAAUUAUUAAAUUUAUAAGUAUUACAAGUACUUUAUGGA
Long non-coding RNA from Armigeres subalbatus, 5075 nucleotides. RefSeq lists it as uncharacterized. The record is from RefSeq and is a predicted model, not a curated record. The transcript has 3 exons. NCBI's taxonomy places the organism in Eukaryota, Metazoa, Arthropoda, Insecta, Diptera, Culicidae.